This 254-nucleotide ribosomal RNA is filed under the name uncultured bacterium. RNAcentral describes it as "partial 16S ribosomal RNA". It matches the Rfam family "Bacterial small subunit ribosomal RNA", at positions 524 to 776 of the family's 1533-position model. The record is from RNAcentral.
UACGGGGGGAGCAAGCGUUGUUCGGAUUUACUGGGCGUAAAGGGCGCGUAGGCGGCCAGCGCAAGUCGGUUGUGAAAUCUCCGGGCUUAACUCGGAAAGGUCAACUGAUACUGUGCGGCUAGAGUGCAGAAGGGGCAACUGGAAUUCUCGGUGUAGCGGUGAAAUGCGUAGAUAUCGAGAGGAACACCUGCGGCGAAGGCGGGUUGCUGGGCUGACACUGACGCUGAUGCGCGAAAGCCAGGGGAGCGAACGGG